AAACCUUUCCCAGUCACUAAAUCCUGGCAACUGGACAGAGAAAACUGGAUUACAAAUUCAGGGUUUUCCACGACAACCAUACGGGAUUGACUGUGGCAUCUUCAUGUUGAUGAAUGCCUUUUACACCACACUGGAUGCUCCCUAUGACUUUUCUAUU
Molecule: long non-coding RNA, 157 nt
Organism: Cololabis saira (Pacific saury)
Lineage: Eukaryota; Metazoa; Chordata; Actinopteri; Beloniformes; Belonidae
Exons: 3
Source: RefSeq, a predicted model, not a curated record